This 478-nucleotide ribosomal RNA is filed under the name uncultured bacterium. RNAcentral describes it as "partial 16S ribosomal RNA". It matches the Rfam family "Bacterial small subunit ribosomal RNA", at positions 28 to 507 of the family's 1533-position model. The record is from RNAcentral.
GACGAACGCUGGCGGCAUGCUUAACACAUGCAAGUCGAACGAGACUUUUGUGGUUAUUCUCUCGGGAGUGGGUAUGACAUGGGAGCGGCCCACUGGUGAGGAACACAUUAGCAGCCAACCUUACUAAGACCGAUAGCGGUUGUAGACGACAAUAAAUACCGCCUUAGACGCCGGAAUCGCAUGAUUAGGGAGUUAGAGAUUUAUAGGUCUAAGCAGGGCUGGGUUCGGUUUCGCUGGUUGGAAGGGUAACGGCCCACCAAGGCGACGAUCAGUAGCCGGUCUGAGAGGAUGAUCAGCCACAUUGGAACUGAGACACGGCCCAAACUCCUACGGGAGGCAGCAGUGGGGAAUAUUGCGCAAUGGGGGGAAGCCUGAUGCAGCCAUGCCGCGUGAGUGAAGAAGGUUUUAGGAUUGUAAAGUUCUGUCACAUGAGAAGAUAAUGACGGUACCAGAGGAAGAAGCCCCGGCUAAAUACGUG